RNAcentral lists this ribosomal RNA (460 nucleotides) under uncultured bacterium. Its description in RNAcentral is "partial 16S ribosomal RNA". It matches the Rfam family "Bacterial small subunit ribosomal RNA", at positions 338 to 795 of the family's 1533-position model. The record is from RNAcentral.
CCUACGGGAGGCAGCAGUGAGGAAUAUUGGUCAAUGGCCGUAAGGCUGAACCAGCCAAGUCGCGUGAGGGAAGAAGGAUCUAUGGUUUGUAAACUUCUUUUAUAGGGGAAUAAAGGUAUCCACGUGUGGAUAUUUGCAUGUACCUUAUGAAUAAGCAUCGGCUAACUCCGUGCCAGCAGCCGCGGUAAUACGGAGGAUGCGAGCGUUAUCCGGAUUUAUUGGGUUUAAAGGGUGCGUAGGUGGUUUUUUAAGUCAGCGGUGAAAGUUUGUGGCUCAACCAUACAAUUGCCGUUGAAACUGGAAGGCUUGAGUGUGUUUGAGGGAGGCGGAAUGCGUGGUGUAGCGGUGAAAUGCAUAGAUAUCACGCAGAACUCCGAUUGCGAAGGCAGCUUACUAAGCCAUGACUGACACUGAUGCACGAAAGCGUGGGGAUCAAACAGGAUUAGAUACCCUUGUAGUC